CCCUUAGAUGUUCUGGACAGCACGCGCGCUACAAUGGUCUUCGCAAACGGAUGCAUUCUCGAAGGAGAAUGCCAAUCUUGGAAUCUAUGCCUUGGUCGGGACAGUUGCUUGCAAUUUUUCGACUCGAACCAGGAAUUCCUUGUAAUCGUGAUUCAUCACAUCACGAUGAAUACGUCCCUGCCCUUUGUACACACCGCCCGUCGCUCCUACCGAUCGAAGAGUUAGGUGAAUUGUUUUGAUCGAUAAGAUUUGACUAUGGUCAACUCUCGUUGUGAAAUUCUGUGAAUCUGACUGUUUAGAGGAAGGAAAAGUCGUAACA
Molecule: ribosomal RNA, 319 nt
Filed under: uncultured eukaryote
Lineage: Eukaryota
Description: partial 18S ribosomal RNA
Rfam family: Eukaryotic small subunit ribosomal RNA
Source: RNAcentral